GGAUGUGAGGGUGAUCUGGCUGCAACAUCUGUCACCUCAAUGAUCACCAGGGUUGAUUCGGUUGAUCUGGCUGGCUAGGCAGGUGUCCCCUUUCUCCCUCACCGCUCCAUGUGCGUCCCUCCAGAAGCUGCCUGCUUGGUGGAAGAAGAUGGCCUUCCCUGAAUACAGACAAAUACAGACAGACUGGUCUUGGAUCGAGGGUAUAAGAGUAGCUGCGCUCACUUGCUAGAACCUCCAAACAAGCUCUCAAGGCAAUAGAGAACCACAAAUCAGCGAGAAAAGAAAGAUUUUGUAGAAAUUAUCCUCAGAUAAGUCACAACUACUGGGGGGUUUUUAACA
Erinaceus europaeus (western European hedgehog) is the source of this 339-nucleotide non-coding RNA. Lineage: Eukaryota; Metazoa; Chordata; Mammalia; Eulipotyphla; Erinaceidae. The record is from Rfam.